Molecule: ribosomal RNA, 215 nt
Filed under: Providencia stuartii
Lineage: Bacteria; Pseudomonadati; Pseudomonadota; Gammaproteobacteria; Enterobacterales; Morganellaceae
Description: partial 23S ribosomal RNA
Rfam family: Bacterial large subunit ribosomal RNA
Source: RNAcentral
GCCUUGAUGUGUAGGAUAGGUGGGAGGCUUUGAAGUGUGGACGCCAGUCUGCAUGGAGCCAACCUUGAAAUACCACCCUUUAAUGUUUGAUGUUCUAACGUUGCCCCGUGAUCCGGGGUGCGGACAGUGUCUGGUGGGUAGUUUGACUGGGGCGGUCUCCUCCCAAAGCGUAACGGAGGAGCACGAAGGUUGGCUAAGCAUGGUCGGACAUCAUG